UACGUAGGGGGCAAGCGUUGUCCGGAUUCAUUGGGCGUAAAGGGUGCGUAGGCGGGUCUUUAAGUCCGGGGUGAAAUCCUGGAGCUCAACUCCAGAACUGCCUUUGAUACUGAGGAUCUUGAGUUCGGGAGAGGUGAGUGGAACUGCGAGUGUAGAGGUGAAAUUCGUAGAUAUUCGCAAGAACACCAGUGGCGAAGGCGGCUCACUGGCCCGAUACUGACGCUGAGGCACGAAAGCGUGGGGAGCAAACAGG
RNAcentral lists this ribosomal RNA (253 nucleotides) under uncultured bacterium. Its description in RNAcentral is "partial 16S ribosomal RNA". It matches the Rfam family "Bacterial small subunit ribosomal RNA", at positions 524 to 776 of the family's 1533-position model. The record is from RNAcentral.